Molecule: RNA transcript, 2496 nt
Organism: Triticum dicoccoides
Lineage: Eukaryota; Viridiplantae; Streptophyta; Magnoliopsida; Poales; Poaceae
Gene name: WD repeat-containing protein 70-like
Exons: 10
Source: RefSeq, a predicted model, not a curated record
CUCGAUCAGUUCGGCUACAGAGGCCCGGACACAGAGCCCGUGCGCUCGAACGCUCGUCGAAAAAAGAAAAACUCGCGGCAGCACCCAUCUCUAUUCCCGAACUCGCCGGCGACGAGUGACCUAUGGCGGACGGCGGCGAGAUGGACGAGGAGGCGAUGAUGCGCGCCUUCUUCCCGACCUCAUUUGGCAAGGCGCCCACCCGCCCCAGCGCCGCCUCCCACUCCUCCACCCUCCGCAAGCCCCAAAACCCUAGCUCCAACCCCUCCACCUCUGCCGCCGCCGAGGAGGACGAUGUCGGUGGCGCCGUUGUCGGACCCCCUAGGCCGCCCAAGGAAUUGGCUCCUAUCCAGGAGGAUGACGAGGAGGGUGGCGGUCUGAUUGGGCCGCCUCGGCCGCCACAGCGGCCGUCUGCGCACGCGGAGGUGGAGGACGAGGACGGCAGCAUGGUUGGGCCGCCUCGGCCGCCACCGUCGAAGGAGGGGGAUGAGGAUGACGAGGACGACGACGACGAGGAUGACGACGACGAUGAUAUGGAUGAUGAUGGGGAUGAUUUCGGCAGGAUUCCUCUCAGCAACGAAAUUGUUCUGCGGGGGCACACCAAGGUUGUCUCAGCCCUUGCUGUUGACCCUACAGGAUCCCGAGUGCUCUCUGGCAGCUAUGAUUAUACAAUACGGAUGUAUGACUUCCAAGGCAUGAACUCGAAGCUACAGUCAUUUAGGCAAUUAGAACCUUGUGAGGGGCAUCAAGUUCGUAGCCUAAGCUGGAGUCCAACAUCGGACCGAUUCUUAUGUGUCACGGGUUCAGCUCAGGCCAAGAUAUAUGACCGAGACGGGCUUUCACUUGGUGAGUUUGUUAAGGGUGAUAUGUAUAUCCGUGAUCUGAAGAAUACAAAGGGUCACAUUUCUGGACUAACUGGUGGUGAAUGGAAUCCCAAGUCAAAAGAAACUAUAUUGACCUCAUCGGAAGAUGGAUCAUUACGUCUCUGGGAUGUUUCAGACUUUAGCAGUCAAAAGCAGGUCAUCAAACCAAAGUUAAAAAGACCAAUGCGAAUUCCUGUUACUUCAUGUGCAUGGGAUCAUGAAGGCAAGCGGAUUGUUGCUGGCGUGGGGGAUGGUUCCAUUCAGCUCUGGACCAUAAAGACUGGAUGGGGAAGCAGACCAGAUAUUCAUGUUGAAAAAGCACAUACAGAAGAUAUCACUGGGGUUAAGUUUUCUACUGAUGGGCAGAUUCUUCUGUCAAGAAGUAUGGAUAGUACUCUAAAGAUAUGGGAUUUGAGGAAAAUGAAGACUCCUUUGAAAGUGUUCGGCGGUCUGCCUAAUAACUAUGCGGAGACAAAUGCUUCAUUUAGUUCAGACGAGCAACUUAUUUUUACAGGAACCUCUGUUGAGAAAGAUGGCAGAAAUGGAGGCCUACUUUGCUUCUUUGAUAGAAGGAAACUAGAGCUUGUAUCAAGGGUGGGAAUUUCACCACAUUACAGCGUGAUAAGGUCACUCUGGCAUCCAAGGAUUAAUCAGGUGUUCGCAACAGUUGGGGACAAGAAGGAAGGUGGGACUCAUAUCUUGUAUGAUCCUUCUGUUAGUCAGAGGGGAGCUCUUGUAUGUGUUGGACGAGCACCAAGGAAAAAAUCUGUUGAUGAUUAUGAGGUGCAACCUUUAAUACACAACCCACAUGCACUGCCUCUAUUCAGAGAUCAACCAAGCCGUAAACGCCAAAGAGAGAAGAUGAUGAAAGACCCCCUCAAAUCGCACAAACCAGAAGCGCCUGUUAGUGGUCCAGGGUUUGGUGGUAAAAUUGGCACAACAAAAGGCAGCUUGCUGACACAGUAUCUCAUGAAGGAAGGUGGUUUAAUUAAGGAGACCUGGAUGGAUGAAGAUCCAAGAGAGGCAAUUUUGAAAUAUGCUGAUGCUGCGAAGAAUGACCCGAAGUUUAUUGCGCCAGCAUAUGCUCAAACUCAGCCAGAAACCGUCUUCGCAGAGUCUGAUUCCGACGGCGAAGAGAAAAAAUAACAUAUGGAUUGACCGUUAAGUUUCUUGCAUGAGUCCUGCAACAUGUACUUUUACUGGGGACAAACUAUAGAAUGUGAAUUAGCAACCAUCGGGAGCUCGGUUUUUUCUGAAGAUACCCAGGGAAAAGUUGUCGCACAGGAAAACUGUUACAAUAAGACGGGUCCAUCAAGCUCCUUUGUCAAGUGAAUGAAGAUUAACAAACCAGAUUCAUGUUACAACAGGAUGAGGUUUUCGCUGUACCUUCAGUUUACCAGCCAUUAUCCAUACUCUGCAGAGUCUGCACGCUUGAUCCAGUGUAUCGCCAUUAGCCCACGAGAAAGCUGUACUGUUUUUUCCUUCCGUGUUGUUGUCGUCUUUGUGAUGAUUGAUGUGACGUGUAGAGUAGACAAGGAAGACCGAUUUGCAUUUUCAAAAUGUCAUUCUACCUGAUCCGCGUUUUACAGUGCGGUUCGUAUCCAGUUGCUUUUUCUACGCAUUUGCCCCUUUCCCC